CCUACGGGAGGCAGCAGUGGGGAAUAUUGCACAAUGGGGGAAACCCUGAUGCAGCGACGCCGCGUGAGUGAAGAAGUAUUUCGGUACGUAAAGCUCUAUCAGCAGGGAAGAAAAUGACGGUACCUGACUAAGAAUCCCCGGCUAAAUACGUGCCAGCCGCCGCGGUAAUACGUAGGGGGCAAGCGUUAUCCGGAUUUACUGGGUGUAAAGGGAGCGUAGGCGGCCUGGCAAGCCUGAUGUGAAAUCCCGGGGCCCAACCCCGGGGCUGCAUUGGGAACUGCCAGGCUGGAGUGCCGGAGAGGCAGGCGGAAUUCCUAGUGUAGCGGUGAAAUGCGUAGAUAUUAGGAGGAACACCAGUGGCGAAGGCGGCCUGCUGGACGGUGACUGACGCUGAGGCUCGAAAGCGUGGGGAGCAAACAGGAUUAGAUACCCGGGUAGUC
RNAcentral lists this ribosomal RNA (440 nucleotides) under uncultured bacterium. Its description in RNAcentral is "partial 16S ribosomal RNA". It matches the Rfam family "Bacterial small subunit ribosomal RNA", at positions 338 to 795 of the family's 1533-position model. The record is from RNAcentral.